UAUAAAAUUAGUUCGGAAAUCCCAAAGUCUAAACACCUAUUCGCCUAACGUCAAUAUGAAAAGUUUAUCGCUUAUUUUAGGAGUUGUUGUGCUCGGUCUAUUUUAUGGCCAAAGUGAAGCUUUUGACUUUGGAACAGGGUAUCCACCAACAUUCGAUUAUGAUUAACGCUAAUGUCUGUGCGGUAUUUCAAGGUUUUAUGGCUCGAUUUCGAAGAUUUGAAGAUAAAAAUAAUUUGAAGUUUUAAAUAAUAAAUUAACAACAAAUAAAUGUUUUUUUUCUUUUCGGUUCAGAAA
This is a long non-coding RNA of Musca domestica (house fly), 294 nucleotides long. RefSeq lists it as uncharacterized. Lineage: Eukaryota; Metazoa; Arthropoda; Insecta; Diptera; Muscidae. The transcript is spliced from 2 exons. The record is from RefSeq and is a predicted model, not a curated record.